UACGUAGGGGGCAAGCGUUGUCCGGAAUCAUUGGGCGUAAAGCGCGUGUAGGCGGCCCGGUAAGUCCGCUGUGAAAGUCCAGGGCUCAACCCUGGAAUGCCGGUGGAUACUGUCGGGCUCGAGUCCGGAAGAGGCGAGUGGAAUUCCCAGUGUAGCGGUGAAAUGCGUAGAUAUUGGGAGGAACACCAGUGGCGAAGGCGGCUCGCUGGACCGGUUCUGACGCUGAGGCGCGAAAGCGUGGGGAGCAAACGGG
Molecule: ribosomal RNA, 253 nt
Filed under: uncultured bacterium
Lineage: Bacteria
Description: partial 16S ribosomal RNA
Rfam family: Bacterial small subunit ribosomal RNA
Source: RNAcentral